GACGAACGCUGGCGGCGUGCUUAACACAUGCAAGUCGAACGAAGAGCGAUGGAAGCUUGCUUCUAUCAAUCUUAGUGGCGAACGGGUGAGUAACGCGUAAUCAACCUGCCCUUCAGAGGGGGACAACAGUUGGAAACGACUGCUAAUACCGCAUACGAUCUAAUCUCGGCAUCGAGGAAAGAUGAAAGGUGGCCUCUAUUUAUAAGCUAUCACUGAAGGAGGGGAUUGCGUCUGAUUAGCUAGUUGGAGGGGUAACGGCCCACCAAGGCGAUGAUCAGUAGCCGGUCUGAGAGGAUGAACGGCCACAUUGGGACUGAGACACGGCCCAGACUCCUACGGGAGGCAGCAGUGGGGAAUCUUCCGCAAUGGACGAAAGUCUGACGGAGCAACGCCGCGUGAGUGAUGACGGCCUUCGGGUUGUAAAGCUCUGUUAAUCGGGACGAAAGGCCUUCUUGCAAACAGUUAGAAGGAUUGACGGUACCGGAAUAGAAAGCCACGGCUAACUACGUG
RNAcentral lists this ribosomal RNA (510 nucleotides) under uncultured bacterium. Its description in RNAcentral is "partial 16S ribosomal RNA". It matches the Rfam family "Bacterial small subunit ribosomal RNA", at positions 28 to 507 of the family's 1533-position model. The record is from RNAcentral.